UGCACCUGGUGGCGAGUGGCGAACGGGUGAGUAAUAUAUCGGAGCGUACCUUAUCGUGGGGGAUAACGCAGCGAAAGCUGCGCUAAUACCGCAUACGCCCUGAGGGGGAAAGCGGGGGACCGUAAGGCCUCGCGCGAUUAGAGCGGCCGAUAUCUGAUUAGCUUGUUGGUGGGGUAAAAGCCCACCAAGGCGACGAUCAGUAGCUGGUCUGAGAGGACGAUCAGCCACACUGGGACUGAGACACGGCCCAGACUCCUACGGGAGGCAGCAGUGGGGAAUUUUGGACAAUGGGGGCAACCCUGAUCCAGCAAUGCCGCGUGAGUGAAGAAGGCCUUCGGGUUGUAAAGCUCUUUUGUCAGGGAAGAAACAGCAGCUCUAACACAGUCUGCGAAUGACGGUACCUGAAGAAUAAGCACCGGCUAACUACGUGCCAGCAGCCGCGGUAAUACGUAGGGUGCAAGCGUUAAUCGGAAUUACUGGGCGUAAAGCGUGCGCAGGCGGUUAUACAAGACAGGCGUGAAAUCCCCGGGCUUAACCUGGGAAUGGCGUCUGUGACUGUAUGACUAGAGUGUGUCAGAGGGGGGUAGAAUUCCACGUGUAGCAGUGAAAUGCGUAGAUAUGUGGAGGAAUACCAAUGGCGAAGGCAGCCCCCUGGGAUAACACUGACGCUCAUGCACGAAAGCGUGGGGAGCAAACAGGA
This 700-nucleotide ribosomal RNA is filed under the name uncultured beta proteobacterium. RNAcentral describes it as "bacterial SSU rRNA". It matches the Rfam family "Bacterial small subunit ribosomal RNA", at positions 80 to 777 of the family's 1533-position model. The record is from RNAcentral. Lineage: Bacteria; Pseudomonadati; Pseudomonadota; Betaproteobacteria.